Molecule: ribosomal RNA, 388 nt
Filed under: uncultured Anoxybacillus sp.
Lineage: Bacteria; Bacillati; Bacillota; Bacilli; Caryophanales; Anoxybacillaceae
Description: bacterial SSU rRNA
Rfam family: Bacterial small subunit ribosomal RNA
Source: RNAcentral
AGAGAGUCGGGCGGUUCCCCCGUUCGGGGGGACGAGGGUGACGAGGUGGUGCAUGGUUGUCGUCAGCUCGUGUCGUGAGAUGUUGGGUUAAGUCCCGCAACGAGCGCAACCCUCGACCUUAGUUGCCGGCAUUCAGUUGGGCACUCUAAGGUGACUGCCGGCUAAAAGUCGGAGGAAGGUGGGGAUGACGUCAAAUCAUCAUGCCCCUUAUGACCUGGGCUACACACGUGCUACAAUGGGCGGUACAAAGGGUCGCGAACCCGCGAGGGGGAGCCAAUCCCAAAAAGCCGCUCUCAGUUCGGAUUGCAGGCUGCAACUCGCCCGCAUGAAGCCGGAAUCGCUAGUAAUCGCGGAUCAGCAUGCCGCGGUGAAUACGUUCCCGGGCCUU